ACUCAAAGGAAUAGACGGGGACUCACACAAGCGGUGGACCAUGUGGCUUAAUUCGACAACAAACGAAGAACCUUACCAGGACUAGAAAUCUAGUUGACCAUCCUAUGAAAGUAGGACUUCGCAAGACAACUAGACAGGUGCUGCAUGGUUGUCGUCAGUUCGUGUCUUGAGACGUUCCCUUAAUUGGGGUAACGAACGCAACCCUUGCCCUGUGUUUUACAUGUCACAGGGGACUGCCCGAGAUAAUUGGGAGGAAGGUGAGGAUGACGCCAAAUCAGCAUGGCCCUUGACGUCCUGGGCUGCACACGUGGUACAAUGGCCGGUACAAUGGGCUCCAGAACCGUAAGGCGAAGGAUAAUCCCACCAAAGCCGGUCUCAGUUCGGAUUGAGGGCUGAAACUCGCCCUCAUGAAGCUGGAAUCGCUAGUAAUCGCCAAUCAGCUACGUGGCGAUGAAUACGUUCCUGAGUCUUGUACACACCGCCCGU
RNAcentral lists this ribosomal RNA (486 nucleotides) under uncultured bacterium. RNAcentral's name for it is "partial 16S ribosomal RNA". It matches the Rfam family "Bacterial small subunit ribosomal RNA", at positions 899 to 1397 of the family's 1533-position model. The record is from RNAcentral.